GAUGAACGCUAGCGGCAGGCCUAAUACAUGCAAGUCGAACGGGGCCAGGUAGCAAUACCUGGUUCAGUGGCGCACGGGUGCGUAACGCGUAUGCAACCUACCUUUAACUGGGGGAUAGCCCCGGGAAACCGGGAUUAAUACCGCAUAAUAUCAUUUGAGGGCAUCUGAGGAUGAUUAAAGAUUUAUUGGUUAAAGAUGGGCAUGCGUGCCAUUAGCUAGUUGGUAGUGUAACGGACUACCAAGGCGACGAUGGCUAGGGGUUCUGAGAGGAUGAUCCCCCACACUGGUACUGAGAUACGGACCAGACUCCUACGGGAGGCAGCAGUAGGGAAUUAUUGGGCAAUGGAGGCAACUCUGACCCCAGCCAUGCCGCGUGCAGGAAAGAAAGGCCUCUGGGUUGUAAACUGCUUUUUACGGGAAGAAAAUGCCCUUGCGAGGGACACUGACGGUACCGUAAGAAUAAG
RNAcentral lists this ribosomal RNA (464 nucleotides) under uncultured bacterium. Its description in RNAcentral is "bacterial SSU rRNA". It matches the Rfam family "Bacterial small subunit ribosomal RNA", at positions 28 to 490 of the family's 1533-position model. The record is from RNAcentral.